Molecule: long non-coding RNA, 1098 nt
Organism: Amphiprion ocellaris (clown anemonefish)
Lineage: Eukaryota; Metazoa; Chordata; Actinopteri; Pomacentridae
Exons: 3
Source: RefSeq, a predicted model, not a curated record
UCAGCUCCCUGCUGUUAGUUCUGAGCCUCUGCACGUCCUUGCUUCUGUUUUUUGUGCAUGUGCUAACUCCUGUUUCUUUGUUCUGCAGUUACUGCUGGUUGCACUGAACGGUGCUGCUUAGCUUUGCCAUUCCUGCCUUGCCCCGGAUUCCCCAACCCUGUCCUCCUGUCCUGUCUCAGAUUCCCUGGACUGCCCCUGCUGCUCUCUGCCGCCCACCAGUACAAGCGGUGCCAUCUUCCUGGACGGCUGGUCUCCAGGAGCCUGUCCGUCCCCUUCCAGCCCCGUUAGUGUGUUCAUGGUGAAGCUGGCGGCAGGUGUGGUGCAUGAUAAUCCGCAGAUGAGCUGCAGUGAAGCUGACUCCUGCCUGCUGUGUUCUGAGAUCCUUAAGUCUGCUGGUCCUCCGCUCUGCCUAGGAUUCUGUUUCUGAUGGAGGAUUCCACCUCUUGCCAGCUUCAUUCUGGGAACCACAGGCUACAUCUUGGACAAAACAUCCUGGGAUAAAUAUCUACCUUCAUUGAACUCAUGGACGCCAACUUACCUUCCAUGUGUUGAGUUCCAAAGAGGGUGAGAGCCGGAUGAGGCCAGGCCAAGAACUGUUUCCCUAUUAGUCAGCUAAGUUUCCAAGCCCUGGUGUUACCAGACUAUUAGUGUAUUAGUUGUACAUUGAAUUAUUACAAUCUACGUUCCAUAGUUAAUACUAUGUGUUUUUAUGCUCUGCAUCAAAUAGUUUUAGUCUGGAGGUUUUCUGUUCAGGAUUAGAGUCUAGGCUGGGUUUAGUUUUUGUAUUUUCAGUUGUUCUCCUGCCUUGGUUUUACCAUAUGUGAGUUAACUGUAGUUUCAGUUAGUGAUUGGUUUAAAGAAAUACAGACAAGACGGAUCAUUUCCACCCUGCAGCAGAACGACAGUGUGGUGCAACCAGACCAUUACGUACUGGAUAAUGGGCAGACUGAGCGAGGCUAUGUUUUGUGUAGGAGGCUCCUUCUUCACUGAUGCUUGGUGCUUUAAGAAGUGGUGAGAGUUCAGACUGGUACACCAGUCUGUGAGUUUUCUGUUCAACACUGUAAAGCCCAAAUACAGAAUAAAAAUAGAUUUGACAAA